GGUCUAGUGGUGUAGCGGUUAUCACGCCUGCUUUACACGCAAGAGGUCGCGGGUCCAAUUCCGGUCGAGAUCA
RNAcentral lists this transfer RNA (73 nucleotides) under Toxocara canis (dog roundworm). It matches the Rfam family "tRNA". Rfam says of the family: Transfer RNA (tRNA) molecules are approximately 80 nucleotides in length. Their secondary structure includes four short double-helical elements and three loops (D, anti-codon, and T loops). Further hydrogen bonds mediate the characteristic L-shaped molecular structure. tRNAs have two regions of fundamental functional importance: the anti-codon, which is responsible for specific mRNA codon recognition, and the 3' end, to which the tRNAs corresponding amino acid is attached (by aminoacyl-tRNA synthetases). tRNAs cope with the degeneracy of the genetic code in two manners: having more than one tRNA (with a specific anti-codon) for a particular amino acid; and 'wobble' base-pairing, i.e. permitting non-standard base-pairing at the 3rd anti-codon position. Lineage: Eukaryota; Metazoa; Nematoda; Chromadorea; Rhabditida; Toxocaridae. The record is from Rfam by way of RNAcentral.